UACGAGGGGUGCAAGCGUUAUUCGGAAUUAUUGGGCGUAAAGGGUGCGUAGGUGGUAUAUUAAGUCAAUUGUUAAAUUCCCCGGCCUAACCGGGGGUAUGCGGUAGAAACUGAUAUGCUAGAGGGUGGAAGAGAGAAGUGGAAUUCUCGGUGUAGCGGUAAAAUGCGUAGAUCUCGAGAGGAACACCAAUGGCGAAGGCAGCUUCUUGGUCCACACCUCGACACUGAGGCACGAAAGCGUGGGGAGCAAACAGG
Molecule: ribosomal RNA, 254 nt
Filed under: uncultured bacterium
Lineage: Bacteria
Description: partial 16S ribosomal RNA
Rfam family: Bacterial small subunit ribosomal RNA
Source: RNAcentral